UGAGCAAUCUGCCCUUCUCUUCGGAAUAAGCGUUGGAAACGACGUCUAAUGCCGAAUACGACCUCCUUUCGCAUGAUCGGAGGUGGAAAGCUCCGGCGGAGAAGGAUGAGCUCGCGGCCUAUCAGCUAGUUGGUGUGGGUAAUGGCCCACAAGGCGACGACGGGUAGCCCGGCCUGGAGGAGGGUGACCCGGCCACACGUGGGACUGAGACACGGCCCAGACCUCCG
RNAcentral lists this ribosomal RNA (227 nucleotides) under uncultured bacterium. RNAcentral's name for it is "partial 16S ribosomal RNA". It matches the Rfam family "Bacterial small subunit ribosomal RNA", at positions 118 to 341 of the family's 1533-position model. The record is from RNAcentral.